CCUCCAUCCGAUCUUUAUGUAACUAGGCCUUCGAUUUUACUCAUGUUAGGACGAGGUUCUCCUCUUAUUCCUAACAAGGCUGUGGGAGCACAUAAGGACCGUUGCGCGGGCCUCUCCUCCCAUCCGGUCUUUAAAUAAUCGAACCUUCGACUUUGCUCAUGUUAGGACGAGAUUCUCCUCCUAUUCCUAACAAGGCUGUGGAGGCACAUAAAGGCCGUUGCGAGGGCCUCUCCCCCC
This 237-nucleotide long non-coding RNA is filed under the name Elaeis guineensis (African oil palm). Its description in RNAcentral is "long non-coding RNA (EGUI_LNC075254)". The record is from RNAcentral. Lineage: Eukaryota; Viridiplantae; Streptophyta; Magnoliopsida; Arecales; Arecaceae.